GAUGAACGCUGGCGGCGUGCCUAAUACAUGCAAGUCGAGCGAGCAGACGAUGAGCUUGCUCCUCUGACGUUAGCGGCGGACGGGUGAGUAACACGUGGAUAACCUACCUAUAAGACUGGGAUAACUUCGGGAAACCGGUUCUAAUACCGGAUAAUAUAUUGAACCGCAUGGUUCAAUAGUGAAAGACGGUUUUGCUGUCACUUAUAGAUGGAUCCGCGCCGCAUUAGCUAGUUGGUAAGGUAACGGCUUACCAAGGCAACGAUGCGUAGCCGACCUGAGAGGGUGAUCGGCCACACUGGAACUGAGACACGGUCCAGACUCCUACGGGAGGCAGCAGUAGGGAAUAUUCGGCAAUGGGCGAAAGCCUGACGGAGCAACGCCGCGUGAGUGAUGAAGGUCUUCGGAUCGUAAAACUCUGUUAUUAGGGAAGAAAAAAUGUGUAAGUAACUAUGCACGUCUUGACGGUACCUAAUCAGAAAGCAACGGCUAACUACGUG
Molecule: ribosomal RNA, 497 nt
Filed under: uncultured bacterium
Lineage: Bacteria
Description: partial 16S ribosomal RNA
Rfam family: Bacterial small subunit ribosomal RNA
Source: RNAcentral